GACGAACGCUGGCGGCAUGCUUAACACAUGCAAGUCGAACGGAAUAUGGGUGCUUGCAUCCAUGUUUAGUGGCAAACGGGUGAGUAACACGUGGGAACUUACCCUUCAGAGCGGGACAAGCACUGGAAACGGUGUCCAAUACCGCAUACGCCCUUAAGGGGAAAGGAGCAAUCCGCUGAAGGAGAGGCCCGCGGCAGAUUAGGUAGUUGGUGGGGUAAAGGCCUACCAAGCCGAUGAUCUGUAGCUGGUUUGAGAGGAUGAUCAGCCACAUUGGAACUGAGACACGGUCCAGACUCCUACGGGAGGCAGCAGUGGGGAAUAUUGGACAAUGGGGGAAACCCUGAUCCAGCAAUGCCGCGUGAGUGACGAAGGCCUUAGGGUUGUAAAACUCUUUUCUAAGUGAAGAUGAUGACGGUAACUUAGGAAUAAGCUCCGGCUAACUUCGUGCCAGCAGCCGCGGUAA
Molecule: ribosomal RNA, 463 nt
Filed under: uncultured bacterium
Lineage: Bacteria
Description: partial 16S ribosomal RNA
Rfam family: Bacterial small subunit ribosomal RNA
Source: RNAcentral